This 107-nucleotide small nuclear RNA is filed under the name Aotus nancymaae (Ma's night monkey). Lineage: Eukaryota; Metazoa; Chordata; Mammalia; Primates; Aotidae. The record is from RNAcentral.
GCGCUUGCUUCGGCAGCACGUAUACUAAAAUUGGAACAAUAUAGAGAAGAUUAGCAUGGCCCCUGAGCAAGGAUGACACGCAAAUUCAUGAAGCGUUCCAAAAAAAA